CGCACCUUCGUCCGUCCGCGCCCCCGCUUGUCAGUCUCCGCGUCAUCGUCCGCCCGCACACUCGCCCGCAGGGCCAUGUCCUUCGUCCGCCCGCCCGCGUCGGCCCACGUCGCUCCUUCCUCGAUCCUUCGUCCGCCCGAUCGCACCCAACGACACUUCAUCCAAACCCUAGCGCUGAUGGCCAUGGCCCCCGCCGCCCGCGCAUCGACACCGGCAUGAGGCGAAUCGAGGCGCCCCUCUACCCUGCGCGUGCCCUCGAAUGCGUGGACGGCCUGCCCACCUCGGCGGGUUCGAUCCCCAAUAAUAUGGCCCGUCAAUGGCAAGAACCGCAUCCGUGGGACGCCGAGUCGUUCGUUUGCUUGAGCAAGUUUCGGUCUUCCGGCACACGCGCACCAUUUGCUAGCUCAAGGAAGCCGGCAGGGAGGGCAGUGCAGCCGUGCUUGGCGUCGAUUGCAGCACAUCCACCUUGACGAAAGGCAGAUAGUGGACGGCAAGCAAAUCCACUAUCCAAUGCAUCGGCUGGGUCUGCGGACAUGGCCGGGGGCUCCCCCCAAUCCUCCUCUGCCAUCGCGUCGCCGUCCCUUGCCCCCUUUCCUCCUUUACCCUGAUGCCUUCUCUAGGUUCUUUUUUUUUUUUUGGUUGGAAUGAUGUUUUCUUGAUGGCAGCAAAGGCUUCAAAAGUGGAGAAUCAAGAUUGAUCGAUUCUUCUACUGCUCCCAUGUUGCCAUAUCUUUAUGGUUCAUUUUUUAUUUAAUGAACCAUGUUCUGUAUGUAUAUGUCCAGCAUAUGAUUUAUUUAUGGCGAAGUGUGUCAAUGAUCAGGAGAGAAAUCAAGGAGCAGGGUCUGAAGAUGAUCAGUGGUUUCACUUGGAUUGCUAAUCUAGAAUUGUUUGGGGAGACACAGGAAUAGCUCUGCUCACCAUAUUAGGCUGCAUCUUACUAUUACGAUCUUUGGCUGGUUGGUCUUUAUAUCAAGUUGUUUCCUACUGUAUUCUUUUCUAAGAAAAGUAUUCGGUUAACUUCAUUGAGGAAUUAGAUAGUUAUUUCUAUAUUGAUAAAUCAAAUACCUUAUAUAUGUGUUUACUAAACAUAAUUCUCCUCUUAGUUGCCUUAUGAAAUUUCUUUGUUCUUCCAAAUGCAAUGUCAAGUUUUGAACAUAGAUUUGCUUUGAAUCAUUGUUAACUGAUGAACCGUAGGUAGGCUGCCAUAUUGAUGUGAAAUUUCAGAGGGCAAUGCAAGAAAAGGACUCAAUUGCUGGACCAACCAUUUCUGUUCUGAAGUUGUCUUUGUUCACUGUUUAUAUAUCAUGGGAGAAAACGAGUAUGAAGCCCUAUACGUUGUUUUGUGCUUCCUAUAAUUACUAAUUACUUCUUAUGUUGUGCGAAGAAUAAUCAUUUAGUUCAUCAUAUCUAAAUUGUUGCAUUAGUUUCUGGUUGUUGCCCGUGAUUGGCAAAGAUUUAAUCUGUCGAGUCUGCUGCCAAUGUUGCUCCAAUAUAUAUCAUCAGGCAACAAUCAUCUUAUGGCAAGUUCCAUGAUGUUUAAUUAGUUCCUUGGUCUUUGGAUGUGUUGACGAGAACUAAAAUAACCCUUUAUGUGAAUGAAGUUUGCAGUAAUGUAAAUUUUGCAAUAAUGAGCUUCGACAUUCUACAAGCAGAUGGGCUUUAGGGUGCUUUUUUGCAUGAGCGAGGUGUUGUGGCAGGAAAGGACAGUGGCAUCCACUUAGCAUUAUUGUUUCGCCAUGCAGGGUUUUCUUUCCUGUUAAGAUUCUGGUUUCUACCGACCGCAUACGAGUGAAGUUGAAUGCACAUGGUAAUGGGUCAGAAGUCAGAACUACUGAAGUUCCCAUCUUUUCUUCAAAUUAUUUGCAUUCAUGCACUAGUUGGGAGGCACGUCAUCGACGGCUUCAGGGGGUUCAUGCCCAGUGCCGGGGACAUGCGGACCAUCAAGUGAAAUGCCUACAGGGGCUGCUGCAGUUUCAACUGCAUGGACAACAGGCAACGACGCUACUCCUCCCAGCACUGCGCGUCCUAAUGCACCCACCUGUUGUGGGGAAGAGACAGGUCCGAAUGAGCUAGGCCGGGGAGGAUGUCGCCGCGCCGGGGGGCCACCGCGCCAACGCCCUGCGCUAUUAGCAAGACCGACUGCACCAGACCUGGAGUUCUCUGCACUGGUGGAGGUGGAUCAGAGGCUUGAGGGCAGAUCUGGACGGGAAUGAUCGCGAAGGUGUGCGGGAAAAAGUUUGUGGGAAGCAGAGGUUUCCAAAAUUGAAGCGCUGAUGAUUGGGUAAAGGUUAAGGUGUGACAGAGAAUAUCAUGAUUUGUAGAACCGUAAUUUGUGGAUCCAUGAUUUGUGGAGGGGGAUCCCUAUGGGAUUUUUUGGGUGGAUGUAGAAAUAUGAGGAGUGCAGUGAAGGUGUCUCGGCCGUUAGAUGCAAUGUUUGGCUCAUGAAACAAAUACUAUUUGUUGGAUGCAAUUAAUGAGAAUUAAUCUGAGGGUGUUUAUUGUUCUGUGUA
This is a long non-coding RNA of Phragmites australis (common reed), 2510 nucleotides long. RefSeq lists it as uncharacterized. The record is from RefSeq and is a predicted model, not a curated record. The transcript has 4 exons. Lineage: Eukaryota; Viridiplantae; Streptophyta; Magnoliopsida; Poales; Poaceae.